RNAcentral lists this ribosomal RNA (253 nucleotides) under uncultured bacterium. RNAcentral describes it as "partial 16S ribosomal RNA". It matches the Rfam family "Bacterial small subunit ribosomal RNA", at positions 524 to 776 of the family's 1533-position model. The record is from RNAcentral.
UACGUAGGGAGCGAGCGUUAUCCGGAAUUAUUGGGUGUAAAGGGUGCGUAGGCGGGAAAACAAGUUAGUUGUGAAAUCCCUCGGCUUAACUGAGGAACUGCAACUAAAACUAUUUUUCUUGAGUGCAGGAGAGGUAAGUGGAAUUCCUAGUGUAGCGGUGAAAUGCGUAGAUAUUAGGAGGAACACCAGUGGCAAAGGCGACUUACUGGACUGUAACUGACGUUGAGGCACGAAAGUGCGGGGAGCAAACAGG